Molecule: unclassified non-coding RNA, 231 nt
Filed under: plant metagenome
Description: partial contains small subunit ribosomal RNA, internal transcribed spacer 1, and 5.8S ribosomal RNA
Source: RNAcentral
UCUCCGUUGGUGAACCAGCGGAGGGAUCAUUACCGAGUUCCGACAACUCCCAACCCUUGCGAACCGUACCCUAUUCUGUUCUCGUUGCUUCCGGCACGCGGGGGGGGCCACGUGGCCCCUCCCCAAACCGGCAGCGGCGGGCCCCGUGACACUUUAUACCUCAACCACUAAAACCCGUCAGGGCUACACACAAAAUAAUCAAAACUUUCAACAACGGAUCUCUUGGCUCUG